This 139-nucleotide small RNA is filed under the name Arabidopsis thaliana (thale cress). Its description in RNAcentral is "ATSL289340". Lineage: Eukaryota; Viridiplantae; Streptophyta; Magnoliopsida; Brassicales; Brassicaceae. The record is from RNAcentral.
UGACAUUCACAAGACAUUCAUAAUCUUUUGAAUUUUUAUCAUACGGGAAGUACAUUUUAAAUGUAACCUUAAUUUUUGUAAGUAAUUACAUAGGUAUGCCAUUAGAAAUAAAAUUUUAAAGAGUAAAUUAAUUUAUCUC